This 1189-nucleotide long non-coding RNA is filed under the name Homo sapiens (human). Its description in RNAcentral is "HSALNT0229466". Lineage: Eukaryota; Metazoa; Chordata; Mammalia; Primates; Hominidae. The record is from RNAcentral.
GUGGCUCGAGGUGUGGACGCCCGCGCCACCUUCCCGUUCCCGUUUCAGGGGGGAAGCUGCAGAGUUCUGGAGCUGUGAGUAGCACCGCUGUCACCGCAAAGCAGAACCCCCAGUGAUUAGGGACGCUCCACGGACUUCACGGCUGCGCGGCCGGCAUCACGGGCUGCUGUUGCUCCAGCGUGUUGGGACGUGCGAGAGGCAUUUACGACCUCAGCGACACAUUCCCUCAACCUCAUCACGCUGCAAGUGCUGCCAGGGUGUGUUCAGGGGACACUCCCUCUCGGGCUGGCUUGUGCGGGGACACGUGCGUGCACACAGACACGGACUCACAUAAAUGCAAUCCACAUGCACUCACAAUAGGCUCUUAUGCACAGACCCUCACACUCAUGUGAACACACUCAUGCACACGCAAGACUUACAUAUUCACACUCACACCCGUGGGCACACCCAGACAUGGAUACACACUCAUACAGGCACACACGUAUCCAGACACCCACGCACAGACACACUCACACCCACGGGCACACCUAGACAUGGAUACACACACAGGUAGUCACAAGCACUCACAUAUCCAGACACCCAUGCGCACACUCACACUCACAGGCACACCCAGACAUGGAUACACAGGCACACACAUAUUGGGACACCCACGCAUAGACACAUUCACACACGGGCACACCCAGACUGAUGCACACGAACACAGACAUGCACUAGUAUAGCCAGACACCCAGGCACACUCAAACUCUCACAGUCACACAUUCACAUACACUCACAUGAAUACAGUGCAUGCACACACAAACACAUACCUAUACACUUGUGUGUGCAGAGAACACACACUCACACAUUUGCACUUAUACUCACAUGAAUACAAUAGAAACACAUGCAUACACACUUGUGUGCCCAGACCCACACACACAUUUGCACACUCACAUGACUAUAAUACAUGCACACAUGCAUACAUACAUGUGACCAGACCCACACCCACUCACAUUCGCACUCACACACACGUGAAUAUAGUACUCGCACACACACGCAUACACGUGCCCAGACCUACAGACACACUCGCAUUUGCACACUCACACGUGAAUGUAGUAUAUGCACACACACACUCAUGUGCCCAGACCCACAGACACACACAUUCACACCCUCACACAUGUGAAUAUACAUGCACACACACGCAUACACACUC